RNAcentral lists this ribosomal RNA (253 nucleotides) under uncultured bacterium. Its description in RNAcentral is "partial 16S ribosomal RNA". It matches the Rfam family "Bacterial small subunit ribosomal RNA", at positions 524 to 776 of the family's 1533-position model. The record is from RNAcentral.
UACAGAGGUCUCAAGCGUUGUUCGGAUUCAUUGGGCGUAAAGGGUGCGUAGGCGGCGGGGCAAGUCUGAUGUGAAAUCCCGGGGCUCAACCCCGGAACUGCAUUGGAUACUGCCUUGCUAGAGUACUGGAGAGGAAACUGGAAUUUACGGUGUAGCAGUGAAAUGCGUAGAGAUCGUAAGGAAGACCAGUGGCGAAGGCGAGUUUCUGGACAGUUACUGACGCUGAGGCACGAAGGCCAGGGGAGCAAACGGG